Molecule: ribosomal RNA, 1117 nt
Filed under: bacterium
Lineage: Bacteria
Description: bacterial SSU rRNA
Rfam family: Bacterial small subunit ribosomal RNA
Source: RNAcentral
AGCGAACGAUAAGGAGCUUGCUCCUUUGACGUUAGCGGCGGACGGGUGAGUAACACGUGGAUAACCUACCUAUAAGACUGGGAUAACUUCGGGAAACCGGAGCUAAUACCGGAUAACAUAUUGAACCGCAUGGUUCAAUAGUGAAAGGCGGCUUUGCUGUCACUUAUAGAUGGAUCCGCGCCGUAUUAGCUAGUUGGUAAGGUAACGGCUUACCAAGGCAACGAUACGUAGCCGACCUGAGAGGGUGAUCGGCCACACUGGAACUGAGACACGGUCCAGACUCCUACGGGAGGCAGCAGUAGGGAAUCUUCCGCAAUGGGCGAAAGCCUGACGGAGCAACGCCGCGUGAGUGAUGAAGGUCUUCGGAUCGUAAAACUCUGUUAUCAGGGAAGAACAAAUGUGUAAGUAACUGUGCACAUCUUGACGGUACCUGAUCAGAAAGCCACGGCUAACUACGUGCCAGCAGCCGCGGUAAUACGUAGGUGGCAAGCGUUAUCCGGAAUUAUUGGGCGUAAAGCGCGCGUAGGCGGUUUUUUAAGUCUGAUGUGAAAGCCCACGGCUCAACCGUGGAGGGUCAUUGGAAACUGGAAAACUUGAGUGCAGAAGAGGAAAGUGGAAUUCCAUGUGUAGCGGUGAAAUGCGCAGAGAUAUGGAGGAACACCAGUGGCGAAGGCGACUUUCUGGUCUGUAACUGACGCUGAUGUGCGAAAGCGUGGGGAUCAAACAGGAUUAGAUACCCUGGUAGUCCACGCCGUAAACGAUGAGUGCUAAGUGUUUAGGGGGUUUCCGCCCCUUAGUGCUGCAGCUAACGCAUUAAGCACUCCGCCUGGGGGAGUACGACCGCAAGGUUGAAACUCAAAGGAAUUGACGGGGACCCGCACAAGCGGUGGAGCAUGGUGGUUUAAUUCGAAGCAACGCGAAGAACCUUACCAAAUCUUGACAUCCUUUGACCGCUCUAGAAGAUAGAGUCUUCCCCUUCGGGGGACAAAGUGACAGGUGGUUGCAUGGUUGUCGUCAGCUCGUGUCGUGAGAAGGUUGGGGUUAAGUCCCGCAACGAGCGCAACCCUUAAGCUUAGUUGCCAUCAUUAAGUUGGGCACCCUAAGUUGACUGCCGGUG